Gavialis gangeticus (Gharial) is the source of this 1808-nucleotide long non-coding RNA. RefSeq lists it as uncharacterized. The transcript is spliced from 3 exons. Lineage: Eukaryota; Metazoa; Chordata; Crocodylia; Gavialidae. The record is from RefSeq and is a predicted model, not a curated record.
AGCAUACCAUAUUCCGCCUACUUCAAAGCUGCCUUUCCAGUACAGUGCAAUGCUUGCCAAGGAGCCAGAUGCUGUGGCUGGUGGAAAUGCUGUCACAGCUUAAAUUGUGGACCUGGUCUUUUCCUCUCUUUCCAAGGAAGGAGGAAGAACAGGAUUGUGGUGAAGCACAUGGAACAACUCUCCACCAGGUCUGAUUUCAGAUUGCAGAUUUCUUAAAUAAAAUCUCUUUCUCCUCUCACAAUGCUGAGCAAGGCCAUAACAAGAAGCACACCAGACCUAGAGAAAAGCAACUUCACCAAUGAAUGUCCAGUCCAGCACAACAAGAAGCCUGAGGGGCAGUCCACGAUAUCGUAUGAUUACUCUGAAGAAGAGCUCAUGGCGAGUAUUGAGCGGGAGUACUGUCGCUGAAACCCAGUGCUGUGAACAAGUUUCUAGGGCAUAUAUGGAGCAAGAGCACUGUUGAAGGGGGAAAGGCAAGUGUUAUAUGAGGGAGAAUAUUACCUCUCAGAGUGCUGGCAGUGUGGUAUGACUUUGAAGCCAGAGAAUAAAUUAUCUCUGGUACGCACUGGGCAAGAUGGCCAUUCAUGAAGAAACUUCACUGACUGCUGAACAAAAGCAAUGCAGUGGAAAAAACCAAGGUCUCAUUAUUUUCAUUUUCCAAACUAAUACUUAAAAGCCUGUUUCUAACUAGUACAUGUGUGUGAAGACUUGCUGCAUUUUAAAGAAUAAGAUGUACCUUUCUGAGAGACUAAUUUUCCAAGAGAUUCAGCAAAUCAUUUGGUUGCAUUUGGCAAGACUUUGUAGAACCUUUACCUACACCAUCAUUGAAGAGUUGUGGGGCAAAUUCACUCCUAAUGCAUUAACGCAUGCAAUUUGCAGUUCUUUGCAUGUGGUCUAAAUUUAACCCAACAUUUCUUCAAUGUUCUCCAACACACACCCUCUCCUCCUUCCCCUCUGCCCCAUCUCCCCCUGACCACACACAUACACACACAAGGAGGAAAUAAAUCAUCCAAAAUGUAAAGGUUCAAACUGCACUCUUUAAGUGGGUGAGGCACUAACAUCAAAUAAUAGGUGUGGGACUUGUUCAGAUUGUGGCCAUCUCCCUGGCUCCUUCUGCUAGCUCCAUUCUUCUGAAUAGGUGCGGGUCUGAAAUAGUCAUGAAUCCUGUUUCUUGAAAGGGCAAGAUUCUUGUCUACCUUCUUACCUACUGCUCACAGACACAGAACCUACAUGGAAAGCAGAAAAUUGUGACACACGCCCGAAUUCAGUACUUCAUCUUUGCUGCUGUUGGGACAGCCACUUUGAGAAGGGAUUUAAUGUUAUGUAGGACCUUAGUUCACAAAUCAUUUCUUCUUCAUUGGAAUUCAUUGCUUCUGGUUUAUAUGUGAUUUUGUUACUAUGCUUAAUCUACAAGGAAAAACACAUUUCUCACUAAAGACUGAAAAGUAAAACAAAAAACCUAAAUAGCCAAAGAUUCACAGGCUUUCAAUUGUUACAGACAAUGAAUCCUUAUAUUUUUAAGAUUUGUGCCUGCAUUUUCGCUGGACUGUAAUAUGAUACAAAUGUUUAAUAUCAAAAGUAGAAAAAUACCUUAUUUCUUUCCUCUGAUGAUAUAUAAAACAUGCCAGAUGAAAUCUCAAGGAGAAUAAGGCAAACUGAUGACAUAAAUGCUAAUGGAAACAGUGGGAUACACCUUAGGAUGUUAAGGUUUGACCUUGCCUUUGUGCUUCCAUAUGCUAUUUGUGAAAUAGAAACAAAUAUAUCCAUGUUUCACAUACCUAUUAAUAAAGGCAAAAAUGUUGAUCUGA